Long non-coding RNA from Artibeus jamaicensis (Jamaican fruit-eating bat), 2895 nucleotides. RefSeq lists it as uncharacterized. NCBI's taxonomy places the organism in Eukaryota, Metazoa, Chordata, Mammalia, Chiroptera, Phyllostomidae. The transcript has 3 exons. The record is from RefSeq and is a predicted model, not a curated record.
UCCCGACCUUCUCCUGGUCCUUCCUCUGCCCAGACGCCCCAGACCUGCUGCUCCCGCCUCCAUUCCCCUCCCAGCGGCCGGAGCGAAGUUUUCAAACCCGGAAGUGACUUGUUUGGGAUGGACACUGAAUUCUUUCCAGGCCCUGAGGCCCGCUCCAGCCACCCUGGCCUUCUGCGUCUGCUCCCUCCUGCGCCAAGCUUUUACCGGGCCGGUGCCCUUUGCUUAGUCUGCCCUUUCCCCCCGUGCCCCUCCCCCUGCUCCUAGCUUGUUCCGACUGACCUUCCCAGAGCUGUAUGGGUUAAGGUUCCUCUGGGGGCUCCUUCAGACCCCGUGCAUUUUGCGUUUUCUGGCACGGAGCCCCCUGCUCUGGGGUACGGGCCUUCCUGUCUACACCGGCUGACCUUUCAUCUCUGUGUUCUGCCCACCGCAUAGAGCCUGGUACACCAUAUGCUUAAUACCGUGUGCUCUGAACCAAAGAGGGUUGAUGGCUAAGGAACUACCAUCCCUGGCAUCGCUAGAAUACCAGGCCCUGAAUAGGUCAGGUGCUUGUAGAUAAAUAGGGCCGACUGACGCUCAGUUUCGCCACAGCCCUGGGAGGGGCGCACUGGAGCCCUUUUCCUGGGGAGUCAGUGAAGGCUCCCAGAGGCUGAGUAGCUCAGGUCACCUCCGCUCGACUGGGUAGGGCAGGUCUGGGGGCCGGGGACACCUUCAUGCCAGGCAGACUGGACCUCCAGGCCCCUCUGAAGGACAGGUCCCAAGGAAAGACGCAUGUAGUAAGAUAAAUGAAAAAUUUGGGUCCCAAAGGGGGCACACAGAGCAGGCUGCCCGAGUUAAAACCCAGACCCUGCCAUUCCUUUGACCUUUGGCUCACACGCUGUGUCUCGGUUUACUCACCUGUGGAACGGUAUGUGCCUGUUCAGGUAGUUCAGUGCAAGCUGCUUUAUUUCCUGCCCACUGGAAGGUUCUGAAGUGGCUGGAACCUGUCUGCCUUAAUUACUGACAUAUCGCAGCACCCAGCAUGGCGCCUGGUGCACUGGAUGUAAGGUCUGUUUGGAUCGAGGACCUUUUCCUGCAUUUCCUGUGCGCUGGCUGGCUCAGGGGGAAGGAGACGUGGCCUUGGUACCCAGCUGCUCACAAGGGCAAGUUAGUAACCAACCUACCAACUGGCCUCUGGACUGAUGCCUGUCUCCCUGAGGCGGCCUCCACAGCCAGAGGACCCUGCCCACAGAGGCAGGUUGGAAGGAGCCUCUCCUCCUAGGGCCUCAGUCUCCCCACUUGGACGCUGCUGCAAGUUACAGGUAAGAGCCCACGCUGGAACCAGCAGAGAUGGGCCACACUGUGACUUUCUGGGGGCACUUUUACAGACGUAAGUCCCUUUCAACCCAGAUGGCACUUACUUGAGGUCCCACGGAUUUAGUGGCAGAGAUAAGAAUUCAGGUUUCUGAUUAUGGUUACUGCUCGCCCUCCCUCCCGCUUUGCUCUGGGCCUCCUCGAGCAGGGCUCAGCGUAGGACCCCGGAGGAUGGGGCAGGGCCAGGCGGCAAGCUAAGGUGCUUUAUACACACAACCUCGCUACUCUCUCACAACGGCCCUGAAAGCCAGGCUGCUUUUCCCGCUGGGGCUCCCAGAGCUUAGGUCUCGUUGAAGAUCACACAGCAGGGAGGAACGAGGACUGCCUCCGUUCUUCCCUUUGGUUUCCAGCUUGGAUGGCAUGUAAGACACAGCAACAGAAGCAGAGAAUUUCAGAGCUGGAGGGGCAGAUGCUGGGGAAGUCCACCUCCGGGUCCAGUGCCACUGGGACAGGGCUUCCCACCACUCGCAGAAGGUCAAGCAGAGGCCCGACCCCGAAGGCAGAUCCAAAGCUGUGGGCCCAUAAACCCACAAACGAACACAAGCACAGGCUGCCCAGCUUCCUCCUCUUGCUCGUGGGUCCCUCUCUUCUCCACACUCUGUCCCGGUUAACUCUGUGUCCACCACAAACCUCAAGGUCGUUAGGAAGUGGGACACAGGGCAGAUUCCCAUGGAAAGUAACUGCCCAGUCAAGCCCCAGGAAGCUAGCGCCAUCUCGUACAUUUGUCCUGCAAAGCUGGGUGGCUUCCCCACCUCCCCUGACCACGAGAUAACCGUCCUACAAUUCUAGAAAGAGUAGAGACGCGUUUCACAGCCUUUAACCUGAUACAGAUGCCUGCCUCAAUCGACCUUUGUCCACAAGGCAGGCCUAGCAACCUGCCCUCGGGAGAGCCCCAGGCAGGACCCAAGGCCGGACAGAGUUCCUGGAUUCGGGGUGGGUCCCGGUCGUUUGGGGGAUCAGAGCCUUGUAAAACCACCCAGCAACUUGGUUUAAAUCAGAGCCCCGGCCUGCUUCUGCCAAACCCGAGGCAGGUGCAGUGUGUGAAUUACAGGCUGAAGUUACAGGAGAAAGUGGCAGUGCCAGUGAUUGGGUUGGUCUUCCCACCCCCCAAGGCCUGGGGGCGUGUCUGCUGGCUGCCAGUGCAGCCAAAGGCGCUGCUGCUGCUGGGGGGCGUGUCCCCUGCGGGGCCUGUCCCUGUGGAUUCCUCACAUAGACUCAGCAAUCACUGACCGAGAUAUGGAUGGGAGGCCUGGCCAAUGCACUCGUACUGGGUUGGCCCAAAAGUCUGUAUGUUCUUUUUGGUAAAAUAAGUCCCAUUUUUCAUUUUCACCAAUAACUUUUAAAAAAUAUUUUAUUUAUUUAUUUAUCUUUAGAGGGGAAGGAGAGAGGGAGAGAAACAUCAAUGUGUGGUUGCCUUUCAUGCGUCCCCUGCUGGGAACUGGCCUGCAGGGAACCAGCCUGCAACCUAGGCAUGUGCCCUGACUGGGAAUCAAACCGGCGACACUUUGCUUCACAGGCCUGUACUCAAUCCACUAAGCUACACCA